This 373-nucleotide ribosomal RNA is filed under the name uncultured organism. RNAcentral describes it as "partial 16S ribosomal RNA". It matches the Rfam family "Bacterial small subunit ribosomal RNA", at positions 527 to 897 of the family's 1533-position model. The record is from RNAcentral.
GUAGGAUUCGAACGUUAUCCGGAUUUACUGGGCGUAAAGCGCGUGCAGGCGGUUUGGAAAGUUGGAUGUGAAAGCUCCGGGCUCAACCCGGAGAGGUCAUUCAAAACUACCAGACUAGAGGACGGUAGAGGGAGGUGGAAUUCCGGGUGUAGCGGUGAAAUGCGUAGAUAUCCGGAGGAACACCAGUGGCGAAGGCGGCCUCCUGGGCCGUUCCUGACGCUCAGACGCGAAAGCUAGGGGAGCAAACGGGAUUAGAAACCCCGGUAGUCCUAGCUGUAAACGAUGUAGACUUGGUGUUGGUGGCCUUAAAACCCAUCAGUGCCCGCAGCUAACGCGAUAAGUCUACCGCCUGGGAUUACGACCGCAGGGGUUA